RNAcentral lists this ribosomal RNA (115 nucleotides) under Methanotorris formicicus. The record is from RNAcentral. RNAcentral also lists the same sequence under 1 other name. Lineage: Archaea; Methanobacteriati; Methanobacteriota; Methanococci; Methanococcales; Methanocaldococcaceae.
UACGGCGGUCAUAGCGGGGGGGCUACAUCCGAUCCCAUCCCGAACUCGGAAAUUAAGUCCCCCAGCGAUGCCCCGAGUACUGCCUUCCGGUGGGAAAGGGACGACGCCGCCGGCC